RNAcentral lists this ribosomal RNA (253 nucleotides) under uncultured bacterium. RNAcentral describes it as "partial 16S ribosomal RNA". It matches the Rfam family "Bacterial small subunit ribosomal RNA", at positions 524 to 776 of the family's 1533-position model. The record is from RNAcentral.
UACAUGUGGGGCAAGCGUUGUUCGGAAUUACUGGGCAUAAAGGGUGCGCAGGCGGGCUGGUAAGUCUGGGGUGAAAUCUCGCCGCUUAACGGCGAAACUGCCUUAGAUACUAUCAGUCUUGGAUAAGCGAGAGGUUCGUGGAAUUCCGAGUGUAGCAGUGAAAUGUGUAGAUAUUCGGAAGAACACCAGUGGCGAAGGCAGCGAACUGGCGCUUUAUCGACGCUCAGGCACGAAAGCAUGGGGAUCAAACAGG